RNAcentral lists this ribosomal RNA (253 nucleotides) under uncultured bacterium. RNAcentral describes it as "partial 16S ribosomal RNA". It matches the Rfam family "Bacterial small subunit ribosomal RNA", at positions 524 to 776 of the family's 1533-position model. The record is from RNAcentral.
GACAGAGGGUGCAAACGUUGCUCGGAAUUACUGGGCGUAAAGCGCGUGUAGGCGGACGUGUAAGUCAGGUGUGAAAUCCCCGGGCUCAACCCGGGAACUGCACUUGAAACUGCGCGUCUUGAGUACUGGAGAGGGUAGUGGAAUUCCUGGUGUAGAGGUGAAAUUCGUAGAUAUCAGGAGGAACACCGGUGGCGAAGGCGGCGACCUGGGUCGAUACUGACGCUGAUGCGCGAAAGCGUGGGGAGCAAACAGG